CGUAGGGCGCGAGCGUUGUCCGGAUUUAUUGGGCGUAAAGAGCUCGUAGGCGGCUUGUUGCGUCGACGUGAAAACCCGCGGCUUAACUGCGGGCUUGCGGUCGAUACGGGCGGGCUGGAGUUCGGUAGGGGAGACUGGAAUUCCUGGUGUAGCGGUGAAAUGCGCAGAUAUCAGGAGGAACACCGGUGGCGAAGGCGGGUCUCUGGGCCGAUACUGACGCUGAGGAGCGAAAGCGUGGGGAGCGAACAGGAUUAGAUACCCUGGUAGUCCACGCUGUAAACGUUGGGCGCUAGGUGUGGGGGGCCUCUCCGGUUUCCUGUGCCGCAGCUAACGCAUUAAGCGCCCCGCCUGGGGAGUACGGCCGCAAGGCUA
RNAcentral lists this ribosomal RNA (372 nucleotides) under uncultured organism. RNAcentral describes it as "bacterial SSU rRNA". It matches the Rfam family "Bacterial small subunit ribosomal RNA", at positions 526 to 896 of the family's 1533-position model. The record is from RNAcentral.